This 497-nucleotide ribosomal RNA is filed under the name uncultured bacterium. RNAcentral describes it as "partial 16S ribosomal RNA". It matches the Rfam family "Bacterial small subunit ribosomal RNA", at positions 28 to 507 of the family's 1533-position model. The record is from RNAcentral.
GACGAACGCUGGCGGCGUGCCUAAUACAUGCAAGUAGAACGCUGAAGAGAGGAGCUUCCUCUUCUUGGAUGAGUUGCGAACGGGUGAGUAACGCGUAGGUAACCUGCCUUGUAGCGGGGGAUAACUAUUGGAAACGAUAGCUAAUACCGCAUAACAAUGGAUGACACAUGUCAUUUAUUUGAAAGGGGCAAUUGCUCCACUACAAGAUGGACCUGCGUUGUAUUAGCUAGUAGGUGAGGUAAUGGCUCACCUAGGCGACGAUACAUAGCCGACCUGAGAGGGUGAUCGGCCAAACUGGGACUGAGACACGGCCCAGACUCCUACGGGAGGCAGCAGUAGGGAAUCUUCGGCAAUGGGGGCAACCCUGACCGAGCAACGCCGCGUGAGUGAAGAAGGUUUUCGGAUCGUAAAGCUCUGUUGUAAGUCAAGAACGGGUGUGAGAGUGGAAAGUUCACACUGUGACGGUAGCUUACCAGAAAGGGACGGCUAACUACGUG